Cristinia sonorae is the source of this 108-nucleotide non-coding RNA. The record is from the annotation of a GenBank genome assembly. NCBI's taxonomy places the organism in Eukaryota, Fungi, Basidiomycota, Agaricomycetes, Agaricales, Stephanosporaceae.
GGCCGCCUGGCGAAAUGGCAUCGCGUCUGACUACGAGAUCACGUGAUCAUGUGAUUGCAUCACGUGAUAGAGAUCAGGAGAUUGCAGGUUCGACCCCUGCGGUGGUCA